AUCGGACCUAUUGGAGUGGUUGAACCGCCGGCCGUGGUAGGCCUGGGGUCCGUGGAUGGUAAGUGCAUUUAUUACCGAGUGAACCGGCGGUCAGGGAGAGCCAUACGCUUUGAUGGUUCAGUGAUCCGGAGAUCGCCUUGAGCCGUGUUCAUUAAAUGACUGAGUGCAUCGGAGACUUGAGGGGGUCUCAUGCAUUAAUGGCAGGUCGUGCCGAAUACCUGCGGAGAUCUUAUGCCUUGAUGGCUUGGAGAUAGCGGCAGGUUGUAGUGGAGUUGUCAGGUCCCUCAGGCUUAGAGGGUUAGGCGGAAGUUGAACAUUUGGUCCAAGGCAAUCGGCUCGGCAGGGAUGCCGAGCCGAGCUGGUCGCCCAAUGGGGCGCCCUGUGGCGGGG
RNAcentral lists this long non-coding RNA (390 nucleotides) under Phoenix dactylifera (date palm). Its description in RNAcentral is "long non-coding RNA (PDAC_LNC003203)". The record is from RNAcentral. Lineage: Eukaryota; Viridiplantae; Streptophyta; Magnoliopsida; Arecales; Arecaceae.